AUGAAAAUAGAGUUUGUGAUAAGUAUGUGGAAGAUCCCGUAUGCGAACAAGGUCCCACCAGACCUCGAGAUUCUGAUUCGCCACCUUGAAGCAGUGGUGGCUCGUCUGGGCAGAAAAGGUGGUCUUGGCACUUCCCACACAUUGGCACCCGCGCCAGCACAAGUGUCAUCUCUGUUGGAGAAACUCGAUGCAGCUCAUGCGGGGAUCACUCGCGGCCUCGAGAAGGAAGGGUCGCGCCUAGAGGGAUGCCUUGCCGACCACGCCUCCAUUUGCAACAAACAAAAGAAGUUGGCCGAAGAACAUCGGAUGCUUGCUGGCAAACAUCAACAGCUUGUAGAGGAGUACAAGGCCCUCUGUGAGAAGGAAACCGAGAUGGCGACACUGGCUGAAAAGCGCAUAGGCGUCCUAGCUGACAUGAUGACUUCUAGCACUUGCCAUCUUGAAGCUCAUGAGGAUGCAGUCCAAGGACAAUGA
RNAcentral lists this ribosomal RNA (474 nucleotides) under Triticum aestivum (bread wheat). RNAcentral's name for it is "partial small subunit ribosomal RNA". The record is from RNAcentral. Lineage: Eukaryota; Viridiplantae; Streptophyta; Magnoliopsida; Poales; Poaceae.